UACGUAGGUGGCAAGCGUUGUCCGGAAUUAUUGGGCGUAAAGCGCGCGCAGGCGGCCUCUUAAGUCUGAUGUGAAAGCCCCCCGGCUCAACCGGGGAGGGCCAUUGAAACUGGGAGGCUUGAGUAUAGGAGAGAAGAGUGGAAUUCCACGUGUAGCGGUGAAAUGCGUAGAGAUGUGGAGGAACACCAGUGGCGAAGGCGACUCUUUGGCCUAUAACUGACGCUGAGGCGCGAAAGCGUGGGGAGCAAACAGG
Molecule: ribosomal RNA, 253 nt
Filed under: uncultured bacterium
Lineage: Bacteria
Description: partial 16S ribosomal RNA
Rfam family: Bacterial small subunit ribosomal RNA
Source: RNAcentral